UUUUUUUUUUUUUUUUUGUGUAUUUGAUUGGAGAAGUUUUCUUGACAUGAUGAUUGUCUUCAAUGCUAGAGCGGGCUCUUGCGAUUGCGAAGACGAUGUUGCAACAACUAUACAUCUUCGGCAACCACGUAGCUGUAUCAUGUCAUGUGUGGUAGUACUUGCAUUAAGUGUUUACAAUUGUGAAAAUAACAAUAAUGUGUAUUUAGACAGAAGAUUAUUCGGCUAAUUUUUCUUUUAACACAAUAUUGUUACACUUUUCAACGACGGUGAUAAAAUUAUAUAUGAUUGACGAGAUAAAAAAGUUGAUUGAAGAAAAAGCAUUUAUGCUGUGAAGUAAUCGAUUUUUUUUUAACAAAUAGUGCCCUAUCAGAAAGGGAGAUUGUUGUAAAUAAAUGGAUUUUGUCUCACAUUGGAAAAUCAAAGAGAUGGUAGCUGAGAUGGUUUCGCGUUCAUGAGAGGGAAGCUGAGUUGGGCCGAGUUCUGCUCUCUUAUGUCUUACAAGAAGUAAAAUUUACAUUUACAGAAAAGGAGGAUCAUAAUUUGCUCUAUCUUUCUUAUUACCGUGGAUAAAAAUAAAAAAUAAAAAUGUUGGGAGUCAGUCCAAUUCCGUGAGAAAAAAAGUAGGGAAAAAAGCGAAAAAAUGAACUCAAAUAUUAGUGGCCAUCUGAAAAGUCAAAAGUAACCAAGGAUUUUGUUGGGAGUAUAUAAAACAAUUUUUUUUUUUACUAUAUUUGUGUGUUUGAAGUGAGUUUCCUGCCUAAAUUGUGAAUAAGUCAGAAAACUUUGUUGUUUCUUCUUUCGUACAAGGUAUUGAAUAAAUUUGAUAAAUCUUGGGAUUUAAUUCAUAAUCAAAAAGGGCGAGGGACAAGGGAUCUCUAAAUGAAUGAAUCUUCGGACAAUUUAACUUUAAUUUGCUCAACUAUUUUCAACUAUAAAAGAAUUAUAAUUUCUACCUUCCAUGCAAUUAAGCUGUAAAUUUAAUGGAAAUAAUUUGAUUUUUGUGCAGUCAUGAAAUCAUUAAGUGGGAUUUGUGAGCUUCUGAGUGGAAAAAUCUUUUUACUUUCCUUGAAAUCAAUCUGCAAAUUCUGUAAAAGGGUUUUAAGCUAACAAUAACAUCACAAUUUACAACAUAGAAAAGUAGUAGAAGUCGAACUUCUAGAAAUGUAUUUUGCUUAUGUUCUUUUUAAUCAUGCUUAAUUGGUGAAUUGAUUUUCACUAUGUGGAUGUGGAUGUGCCGGAAUUAAUCUCUCCUGUGUAGUGGAACCACAUUAAAUUACAGAGCGCUCUUAUUUACUUAUUUUAUUUCCAUUUAUUUACUUUCUUUUUUUUUUUUGUUUAAAAAAGAAUCCAAACCUUGGAGGGGUAGGAGAAAAAUGGAUGGUUUAAAAGUUGAACUACAAACUUCAUGACAUUUUAGCUAAUGUGAUGUCUCUAUGGAUUAAGUUUCAAGGACACGGCAUGUAUAAUUUCAUGAAAUCACGAAUAUCAACAUAUGCUUAUGUAAUUGGUAGGAAUUCGAAACUCUUUUGGAUUCGAAACUCAUAGAAAUAGAAAUGACUACGAACUUGCAUCCUUCAAUUAUGAAUUAUUCUUGGAUUCGAAACUCAUGAAAAUAGAAAUGAUCAUGUUAGAAGAGCUUCCCCGCAUCGCAGACGAUAAGACAAACGCGGAUACAUGUGAUUUAUAAAAAAAAAGAUAAGAAAAGAAUUGCGAACAACGUACACGAAAUUAUACGUUCCCAUGUCGAAGUACUUUUACAGGGAGAGCCAUAGUUGGUCCCUGGGUCUAGUCCACCUAAUUCUUAGGCGUUCCUCUUCCAGUCCUUGGACAAGUGUCCGAAUUUGGUCAAGAUCAGUCCAAUCACCCUAACAGCAUUUAACGCUUUAUCAUUUCACAUAACCCAAAUCAUGCCACGGCGGUGUUUUACUGCAAGGUCAUAGCUCAUUCAAGAGUUAAUUAUGUCCUGGCCAAAUGACAGAGGCUUUGGGACCAAGUUGAAAUCCAAACAAGUUUUGCCACGGAAUCUUUCCUUUCCCCUUAUCAUAUUCCCACACAAAUUGUGAUUGAAUCAAUUUGGAAGAGAUGCAUUUUGUUUAUGUUAUUGUUUGUCCCCAGUUCCUUGCAGCUUCCACAUGCAAAGGAAGAGAGAAAAGGCAGGGCUAGGUUCAAUCCCUCCCACCCCCCAAACCUCAAAAAAAUGUCAGGAUACUCAUAUCUGACAACCUCCAAUUUAGAUACUACUAAUAAGAACCCAUAUAUAGCAUAUACUAAGCCACCACCCCAAUUGGCAGGCAGGAUUACUAUUUACUAGCUGAAUAACAAAUUGAAGCUAAGGGAAAGACAACUAGAUUUUCACAAUAAAUGCACUUAAUUUGACUCUUGUGCCUGAAUCACAAUUCCCAAAGAAUGCAUCUAUAUUGUAGGAGAGGCCAAACCUCAAGCAAAGUUUGAGAAAUAGAUGCCAAAAGGGGUGCUCUUCAUGCGACGCAGACACCCAUUAACACACACAAAUGACACCAUAGUGUAGUUAUUAAUGAGGAAACAACCCGGUGCCCUAUUCCCCACUAAAGAAGAAAUGAGGAUUUUCAAACUUUAUAGCAUACAUGCAUUGAUACCUGGAAAGAUCUUAACAGAUGAUUAUCAAUUGGUCUGUAUCUUCAUAUAAUUUGCUACAAACAUGUACAAAUUGAAACCACAUAAUAAUCAGAUUACUGCAACAAGGUCAUCGACCAGGAAUCCUAAACACCAAAACUUUUCAAAGUUUCUGUAGGUACCUCAUCGCUACCAAUGCUAAGAGCAAAGCUUAAUAUUUUCCAGAAAAUACUACUAUUAUAUUUAUUUGAAGGCAUUUUGAUGUAGAUAAAAGGUGACUCGAAACUGAGGAGGAGCAGCAGCGCAAUAUGAAAGUGAAGCUGAGGAGAUCAAAUCAAUUCAAACUUCUACUCCUAACGCAAGUGGAUCUCCAGUAUCAAGAUUUGGAAAGUCUUGAUGCAUUGUUUCUUCUUCUGAAUGAAAAAGAAGACAGGCAAGAAUUCUCAGGAACAAGCCGAUAUGUAGUAACAUAGAGGCACUUCCCGUUUUCAAACCAUGACUUGACAUUUAGCAGAGAGAAUGAUAGUCAACAGUAAAGAGGAGAAGCACAAAUCAACCCAAUCUUCUCCUCCUAUGGGGACGUGAAUCUCCACUGUCCACGUCUGAAAUUCUUGAAGCAUCAUUCCUUCUUCUGGAAGAUGAAGUGGAGAGUGAAACUGUGGAAUCUAUUUCAACUGCAGUAUCUACUGUCUGACUCUCCGACUGUAUGACAGCAGCGAUGCUUGAGAUAGAAUCUCUAUCAUCCACUGGCAAAGUUUGCUCCUGAGUCCUAUCAACGGGAUUGUUACGGAAGUAGGAUUCAACUAACCUUUCUGUAGAACUCAAGGUGGAUGUCAGAUGAGAGAUAGCAGCUUGAUUUGGAUGUGAUCUACGAAGCAAGAGUGACGAAAUUCGUCCGGCUUCCCCCACCUCUGAAUUGGUAGGACUGCUCUGUGUAAAGUCAACUACAUCAUCUGGUGAUAUUACAUUAUUCUGCUCUCUGCGCAUUCCUCUUGAUGUCAGGAUCCUGUUGAGCAGCGAAUGGCUUCUUUCAGGUGAGUCCCGUGAAGCAUCAGCAUUGUGGGAAUGAACCUGAUACAAAUCAUACCUACUGGUAAGACGCCGAAUCAUUUCCUCCAUAGGAACAGUAAAAGCAGUCCUCUGUAGAGAUUGUCUGAAGCUCUCAACACGUCGUGCUUGGGGCCUCAGAGGGAUUUUCAGAUUUGAAUCAUCCUCUAACUGUCGGGCAUUCUUUCCCCGGCCAUAGAUUGGGGUAACAGUUUUCAUGGUUACUUCCCCUUUACAAACUGGACACUCCUUGGCAUCUGAGUGAACAUGUAACCACCUAUAGAGGCAAGGCCAACAAAACAAGUGGCCGCAACAAGUCACAACAGGGUCCUUGGCCAGGUCCAAGCAUACAUUGCAAUCAAAAAAGCUUCCUGCUUCGCUAUUGCCCUUUUCAUCAUCGUCCUUUCCCAAAGCCUCAUCUUCCAAGAACACAUUAUUGUUCUCACACGUUUUAACCACAUCCACCGGUGCAUCCUCUGCUGCAACACUACCCUCACCAGCUUGUAAUCCACUCCCACCAAUUAGCUCCAUAGCAAUGUCCCUUGUUUCAAGUGGCACUUGUAGUUGUCUCCAAACCGACCGCCACCGUCUUCUCUGCCUAAAUGGUUCUAUAGCCCUAUUAAGAGGACCAUCACCUAACCAGUCCUCCAAAUUCAUGGUCUCGUCAGGAAACGAUCCCGACCUGGGCUCAGUAUUUUCGCUAGAAUGAUCAAUAGGCCCCAAAUUGAGGUCAAGAUUCAUCCCGUCUCCCAUCACAAAUUUAACAAUCCCCAAAAAAAAAAAAAUCCUUUCUUUCUCAGCUCAAACUCAACGAAAUCAGAAUCCCAACUCUUUGCCCUAAACCAAAAAAUCAUCAACCAUCUUCUUCUAGCUAAUUCACCCAAAACCCUAACUUUAUUUGAUCUUACAAGGGAAAAUUCAGAUAAAUGUCGACAAAAUGUAAUGCAAAAACUCUCAAAAUUUUGAUUAAAUGGCCUCAGAAACUUUCUGGUCAAAUCCUAACACAAUUUAGCCAGAAAAUAUAAAAUCGAAAAUCCUUUCGGUAAUAUCUGCCAGUCAACUCAAGGAAAAAUCUAUUCUUUUUUUUGGUGGGUCAAAACCCUAAUAUUUGUCAGACAAAAGAGGGGUAAAAGAUUCUGACCUCAGAAACAAUUUUCGCUAAUUUAACACAGACAAAUUAAAUUAACCACUUCAUUACAAGCAGCCCAAAAAUUAAAAGCAAAAAAAAAAAACCCAAUUCAGGGUUUACCAAAUAAGGAUAUAAAAAACAAAAAAAAAAUUGUAUAGACACAGAGAAGAGAGAGAGAGAGAGAGAGAAGGACCUUGUGAAGGGAUAUGAUGAUGAGCUGAAGAAGAAGAACUAGAGGCUUAAAGCUUAGAGUUUGAGUGAAAAUGGAGUGGGGUUUCCAUAUUGACUGUGAACAGGGAUCUGGUCUGCUUGUGUGUGUGUGUGUGUGUUUUGUGAUGAGAUUUUGUGUGAUUGAAUAGGACACAGCUCAGAGACAAUAGGGGAAGAGAGAGAGAGAGAGAGGGGGGGGGGGAAUCAGCUGCAUAGGCUGUGUACAGUGUUGUUGGGUGUCUUCCAAUCUUCACCAAUGUUUCGGGUUGUAAUCGUGCCAUGUCAGCAUUCAAGUGAGAUAUGGACCCACUUAGUAUGUGUGUGAUUGGUCCCCCACCUUUGCCUUUUUUUUUUAAUUUUUUUUCCGCUAUCCUCCUCGUUUUUUUUUUAGUUUUUUAAUUUUCCCACCUUAUGUGUUUAAUUAUUUGAGCUUUUUUUUUGUUGUUGUUGUUGUUGUUGUUGUUUUUGGUUGUUUUUUUUUUUUUUGGUUUAAAACUUAAAAAUAGUCUAAGAGGACAAAAGGCUCAUACAUUUCAAGCCUAGAGCAUACUGACCGCGCGUAAUCAGCUUAAAUAUUGCGCUUGAGUUGGUAGUGGUUAAUUUUAACGAUAACAUUUGUAUAACAUAUUCUAAUCUAGUCUAAGAGAUGGGAAGGGGGGGAAUUUUUAACUGACAUGAAAUUCGUAGAGGAAAUCACUCGAAAGUAACAGUCACAAAUUUUGGGUAGAAUAUAGUUUGUCUAAGAGGAUAUAAUAGAUAACAAAACUGUUAUACUAUUGUAGUUGUUUUUAGAGCUUUUUUUAUCGAGGUGAAUUGUAUGGAAUAUUUGAUGUUGAAUCUUUAUUCGUGUAUAUUAUAUGCACAAGAGUUACGAAAGAAAUCACUAGUCGUUGAAUAUUGCUUGAAGGUGUUAGUAAACAGAUAAUUGCUAACCAUACAUUCUGUGCCCAAUGAGCACAAAUUGGACUCAAAUAAUUAUGUCAUGGCAGAUAAGGAACGAAGCUUUAGCUCAGAUAAGCUCAACCCGAUUAAGGCGAAGCUAUUCCAACUCUAUCCAUCACAUAAAAUCUCUAUUAGACACAUUAUUCAAUACAACAAAUAUAUAGUCAUUCUUGCAAAGCAAUUAGUGAUGAAGAUUUUGUUGAUACUAGUUAAUUUUAUCCUUUUGUUCAUGCAAUGUAGUUUGUAGUCAUUUAAUUCUAUUUCUAUAAUCUAAUUUAUCAUAUUCUAGAUUAAAUUAGAUCAAAAGAAUGUUUUGAUAUUUUUUUAAAAUCUUUUUCACUGUAAAUGGGGAUCAAACUUCCAACUUAUAAUCUAAAGAGAGAUUUAAUUCCUUUUUGGUGUCCACUGAGUUAAAAGCUGAGUGGUUUCUAGCCAUUUAAUUGUAGUUGUAGGACGAGCAGGGUUGGAAAUCUAAUGCAUUAGGAGGGUUGUAAUUGGACCUUAGAUCUGUGACCGUAAAAGAGCCCGGCUUUGACUUAGAGCUUAAGUCGGUGGUAACGAUCCUAAUUACGCAAGCGAAAACACAGAAAAAAUAAAUUAGAGGCUAUAGGAAUCAAUCUUUGUUAGAUUGAGUAAACAAAUUAUGAUAUCGACAGACUCAAAGAUUCACCCUUUCACGUUACCUCCUCAAUUCACAAUUGUUGAACUUGUGGCAUAAUUGCAACGUUGAUUGUCCAAUCAAGUGCCAAAGUACCUUUGGCUUUAUAUGUAUUGGAGGGGCAACAUCAGAAUUGUCUCCCAAAUUGAUGAGGUAUGUUAGUUUGAACAGAAGGUUAUUUUUUUAAAUAUAUUUGUUUAUAUUAUUAUUAUAAUUUUUAAUAUAAUUUUUUAUUUUUUUUAAUAAUUUUUUUAUUUCACAUACAUCACAGCGUAAAAAGUGCUACAGUAAAAAUAUUUCAAAUAAUUUACAAUCCAAACAACCAACCAAGGGCAAAAUUGCAAAAGAUUGAUUCUAAGGACUUUGAUUGGCGCAUGUUUUAGGUAUGGAAAUUACGCCCUUCCUUUCCUCCGCCCUUCUUUGAAGAAACAAUACCCUUAUUUUUUCCUUCAUUUUUUUAGCUUAUUUGUUUAUAAGAUUGACCAAAUUCCUCCCCACUUAUUGAAAGGUGUUAAUGAAUAAAUCCAAUCCUAUAUUGGUCGCAAAAGUAUUUGAAGCGCUUGAAUUCAACUUGCCUUCUACUUUUGUUUGGCCUCCUUUGUAAAGGCUCACCUUUCAAUUGAUCCGGUGACUCAAUAGUCAAUAGCUUAUAUUCUUCUUUGCCGUAUAAAAUACCAUAUGAUGCAUAUGGAGGAAAAUUUUGAAGAUUAGAGAAUUGACCCAACCUUACAUUAGGCGCAUUGUGGGGAAUGGAAUUGGAACAAAUUUCUGGUUUGACACGUGGCACUCCAUCGGGCCAUUGUACAAAAAUUUUACAGGUAGCCUUCUCUAUAUAGUCUCUGCUGUAAACCAUCUGCUCAGGAGUCUGGAAUCAGAAAUCAUAGCGGAUGGAAAGUCGAAAUGGACCAGGGGAGCAAUCGUUUCUGAAAGUUAUGAUGCUAUGGGCAUUUUACACGUGGUGUAACACUGUUUGCGCCCUGCAAUUGUUUCUAAAAAUUAUGUAUAUUUUACAUACGGUAUAAUUCUGAUUGCAUAUGAUGAAACUCAUUUUCAAUAACGUGUAAUUUUAGAACAAAAUUUUGUGGGUUCUACACAUGUUGUUAAAAACAAGAUACAAGAUGAGAUCUGGACAGUAUAAUUUUUUUUUUGGAUCAAAUUUUGACCGUGAAUUGUCAGGAAAGCAACCAUUUCUGCCCCUCUUCCAGUGGAAAUGGUCAUUAAAAAAACAGUUGGAAUCCUCUAUAUCAAUAUUCGGUGCCAAAUUCAGUGCCAAUCCCACUUAUUACAUAAUGGUAUAAGAAAUUUAAAUAAAUAGCACGUGAUAAAUUAAAUAAACGGGACACUUGGCAUAAAUAUAGAAGUGGCACUGAAUUGCCACAGAAAAAAUGGCACUCAGGAUUCCCGUGUAUUAAAAAGACGAAACGGCAGAAGCGAAGAUAUUAAAAGAAGCUGCACCUGACUGUUUUGUCCCCUUGAUGGAAUUUGAGGAUCAGGUUGGAUGGGAAGGAGGUACAUCCGGUGAGUUCAAUACAAAAUCUGUCGUGAGGGUGUUAUGUGGUUCGAGGGAGAAGAUGGUCUGGGCAAAGUUGGUUUGGGGAAAAGGAUAUGUUCCCAGUAUGCUUUUAUCUUGUGGAUGCUGUGUAAAAGGAAGCUAUCUACCAGAGAUAGAUUGCAAAAGUAGGGAGUGCCUUUGCUAUCCAGAUUGAGUGGGCUUUGCAACGGGGAGGAAGUGAGCAUGAAUCAUUUGUUUUUCAAUUGUUGUGUAACCAAACCACUAUGGGAUAAAGUACAGCAUAUGUGUCUGGUAUUUCGAGGGUCUUAUAUGUGGGAAGAGGAGCUUAAUUGGCCUGCAAAUCAUUGGAGAUCUAAUUCCUUUGCUGACCAAUUGAGGAGGCUGCCUCAAGCUGCGACUAUGUACCAAAUCUCGAGGCUUAGAAAUGAGGCAAUUUUUCAAUCAAAGCCUGUCGACGUUUCUGGACUUCUAAAAACUAUCGUUGAAGCAGUAUGUUAUGUAACUAGUAGUUGGUCAGGUUUUCCAUGUACACGGCAAAAUUGGGAGCUUGUCAUGGAAUGGGGGUUGGAUUGGAAGUGUUUGUCAGAAUUAGGGCUGCAAACGAGUCAAAUCGAGUCGAAUUUUGAGCUAAUCGAACCGAGUCUCGACUAAAUUUUAUCAAGCUUGAGCUCGAUGAGCCAGCAAUUUUCGAUCUCGAGCUCGACUCGAAUCAAGUCGAGCCGAGCUCGAGUUCGAAAAAAAUAAUUAUUUUAUUUUUAAAAAAAUAAAAAAAAAUAAUUAUUUUAUUUUAAAAAAAUAAAUAAAAUAAUAUUUUUUUCUUAAUAAAUAAUAAAAUAUUGAGGAUAUAUACGUAAUUUUACUAUAAAAAUAAAAAAUAAAAAAUAUAUAUAAUAUACAUAAUUUUAUUAUUAAAUAAAAAUAAAAAUAAAAAAAUAUAUAUAUACUCAAGCUCGCGAGUCUAACGAGCUUAAUAUUCUGAGCUCGAGUUUGACUUGAGCCGGCUCGAGCUCGAUUAAUAUCGAGCUCGACUCGAGCCGCUCGCGAGCGGCUCGAUUCAUUUGCAGCCUUAGUCAGAAUAGAGGAGAGAUACUAGUGUAUAUGAUACGUAAAUGGUAGUAUGAUUGAAGGGUGAUUACCCAUGUGUACAAACUUUACUGCUGAGAUCAAGAAAAGUGUUUCCAAUUUCCCAAAAAAAAAAAAAAAAAAAACUUUGUACUGCUUAACUGUUGGCAUCUUUGAAGGAAAGAAACUUCUGUUUGCAACUUUUGAGAGCUCAACAAAGACCAAUCACUGGUGUAACCGUGUAAGGUGAAAAACAAAAAAAAUUGAAGGGUAAUCAUAUUUCAGGCUUGACUAUUGCAAAGUUUCACAUGCCCAAUUGGGCCAAAAAUUGCAAUGGUAUCUAGUAGUAGUACAAGAAUUCAACAUCUUUAUGGAUUGGAAAGAAUCGAAAAUACCAAAAACUUACUGUUUAGAACAUCUUUUUUCUUCUCUUGGGUACCAAGUUCCAAUUUUUACAAUUCUGGGAGCCAGCUUGUAAAGUGGAGUAUCUCGAACUGUUCUGCAAAAGCUUUCAUAGAUUCCAUCAAUUAACCUUCUUACAAUCUGACCUGAUCUCUCCAUUAGUACCUGUUAAAGGACUAAUAUUCCCCAUAUUGAUCAUGGAUUGCGCGAAGCUUUGGAAGAAUGCAUUCUGAUUACUACUGAAAGUGUUCACUAUGGAAAUCGUUGCAGCACCUGGAGUGGAGAACAGCUCUUGAUCUGAUUGAAGCAGGCCUUGAUUGGUUUGGAGGUUAGAGAAAUAGUUAUUGUCGAAUGUAUUAGGUGUGGUAAAAUCAAGAUUGGCCAAAGCAGUUGUGCUCCCAUUCUGUGGGCAUAUCUGGCGCAAGGUAGCCAAGUAUGUUGUGUUUAGUGAUGGAUCAGGAUUGCCAGAUCCACUGAAGUUGUAAAGUCGACUGCUGAAUAAUCGACAUUGAGCUCGUCCAAAUGUGUGAGCCCCUAACAAGAUUUUAUUCACAGGAAGUUAGGAAACUGAUAUGCUUGAGUACAUCUUUAUGAUUGUGGGAUCUUAUUUAGCGUGCAAAUUACCAGACAAUGCUACAAGAUCAUUUAUGUUGAGUCCAACGGCGGUAAACUUUGCAGUAAUGUUGCUUAAGCUUUCAAAGGGAGCGGGAAUAGAGGUAUUGGCUCCUGCUUGAUUUGCUGUCUUGCUGUCCCUCCUCCCCAGUAGCACAUUCCAUGAAGGUCCUCCUGACUGUACAAUCCAAAGAAAAGUAUAUGUUUUAGUUCAAGUUUCCUUUCAAGCUGAUUAUUAUAAACACUGUUCAUUCCCAGAUUGAUUCUCUUUUUUUUUUUUUUUUUUGGCCCAUUGGGUAAUACAAUUGAGUAACUUUUUGAAUCUCGUAUACUAUUGAGCAAGGAUCCGACCAUCAGUCUAUAAUGACAUGGAAUCACUUCUACAAUACAGAAUCAGAAGAGAAAAAUAUCUGCAAAUUGCCAAUCCUGAACCUGUAAAUCUUGACAUUACAAAAUGCAAAUUUGAGGCUGAGAUUUUAAAACUCUGGUGCUCAAUUUGUCCCACAUAUAGGUGAAAAAUGGAGUUUGACAUGGAACAUAUUGAGCCUAAAGUGUCUGCUUUAUGUUCAGUAUUAUCUUUAUUUGUUCAGAUACCAAUUAUCUGCUUAGCGUGAAACCAAUCCUAGAGCAGAAGGCUGGUGGGAGUUGGAUAGAAGGUCUUUUAACACUUCAGGGGUGCCUCCUUGCAAGUAGCUUUUUUGCUUGCAAGCAUUAGGAUUAAGACUUGUUGGGAAAAAUGGGACAAAAAAUAAAAUUACAAGAUUGAAUGAAAAGUUCUUUAAUGUUGGCAUACCAGAGAGACAGAUGAUUCAGCAGCAAGUGCCAGAAUAUCUGCACAAGAGACAAUACCAGGACAAGAAUUUUCAACAGCAGUCUUUAUCUUGUCAACAACAUCAAAACCGCGAGCAGAGUUGGUAUUGGGAGCUGCAUCUUUCUCACUUCUCAAAGUUCCGUUGUUAUCCAGUAAAAUCGAAGCAUCACAUCCCUGAUGACAACAAACAGUUCUCAGAAGAUUAAGCGAUUGAAAUGAUAAAAACCAGUUUACUGUUCUUAAUUUUUUUUAAAGAAACUUCUAUAAGAGUAAAAAAAAAAAAGGUACAUCAACAAAGCAAUCGUGGAAAUGAAGUCGAAUGAGGCUUGCACCAAUACGCGGAUCAGACUGCAAAGCCUGUUGUAUGACAUUUUGGACAAUGGCAGAUACAUUUGGACAUGUGUUUGAGUAAAAUGUUGCAUUCAACUGAGCAUUCGAUACAUGCAGCUGAAUUGCACCUAAGAAAAAGCUGGUUAGUACAAAGAGAGACGGAAAAGAAAGCGUUUUCAUUUCGUUCUUUUUAACUGGAAGCAAGCAAACAAUGUAAAUUUGCCUUGUACAAUUAGUGACUCGGGAUCUACGCAUUAUAUAGGAAAACAAGCCUGUUCUUUUUGUCCCCCGGAUAGAAAAUGACUUUGGUACAGAUAUGGCAAAAAAAAAAAAAAUUACUGUCUUUAUCUUUCUGUUAGUGUUAAGCAUCAUAGUCAACAAACGAAAUAGUAGGUCAUUUCUUGGAUGCUUCACCGCGUCCAGCCUUUGGGGAAGGAGAAUUGGUCUUGGUGCAUUUUUUUUUCUUUUUUUUGAGCAUACAAUCUUCAUUCACAAGGUACUAAUAACUAUGUACAACAUGAAUUAUUACUAUUCCGCAGCAGAAAUUUGGUCAUAAUUCGAUUUAACAACUAGGGCGAGUAGCAAAUUAAACGUACUCUUGCCCAUCUAAACUCUUUUCCUUUGUCUAGGCAUACAAUACAUGGUAAUCCAACUUCAAGGUUAACUCGGUACUGACAUUUCAGUGUCAUAUUGCCUCAAGUAUGUGAAACAACUCCACCAAUUCAAAGGAAAAAUGGACACAACACGAUUGACUAAUCAGGGUAAGGAAUGAGGAUGGUAGCUUAGCUGGGAAGAAUGAUUGAUGGCCGAUGUGGGAAUGCAAACCAUAACAACCAAGUCAAACAGGAAAUUUCCAUUCGAGUUGUUACCAGCUUUAAUCUGUGUUGGAGCUAACUUAGGGUGGGGGCUGGCGCCACUAAAAGAUCACCUCAUCAACAAAAUAAUUCCCUUGAAAUCUUUGCUAUCAAAGACAAAUACUAUUUGUCGGUCAUUCCUUUGAAUUUUAAAAGAUUCCUUGCUAAACAACGCGUACUUGUUCAUAAAACACAGAACACAUUGAUUGCUUCAUGGACUAAAAAUAGUGAAAUGCUGUCUGAGACUAAUUGCAAAUCUAACCUUAGGUACCAAGAAAUCCGAUCUUAAAACUUUUGUCAUCCCAAACGACGUUCUUUCAUGUUCUAAUCACCUCAUUUGGUGCUCGUUUUGAUAUUAAAAAACACAACACAUGAACUAACACAAGGUUAAACUCCGCUAUGUGCAAUUAUAUGGGAGGAAAGCACCAGAGUCUCAUAGUUUCCAGUCUUUCAUUUUUUAGGCAUCUAAUCAUUUGAGAUUAAACAAGUUCUGAAGGGUAUUAUAGGAGAUAGUGUAGGGCUAAUCAAUCGAGUAAUUCAUCAAACGGGACUGCAGACAAAUUAUGCACUUAAUCUUGUAACUGAUCACCGGUGAACCUCUAGUACUGUUUUUGUUCUAACUGCAACAAUUUAAUUGCACUUGUUAUUCGAAUUACGGUUGAAGUUACCAUGCUUUUAACUUGACAACAACAGCUUCUUAUCAGCAAUGUUUUCCUUUGUUGCCGUGCGGGAAUGAGGCAAGUCUACUCUGCUUUUACGUCCAAUAGCCCGGCUAGGUAAAUGGUUUCAUAGCAUAUAUUGAUAUUUUUCAGGAUUUUUGGAGUACCUAUUAGUUCUCUACUUUUGAAAUAAAGAGUAAAGUUACUACCCGAGUGCCGCAUCAAUGCAACGCUGUAAUUAGAUUUUAGAUUCAAGAAAGUGGCCUUUAUAACUGGGGAAGAUCAUAGCGAAGAAGUCGAAACCGACGCAAGGGCUGGUGAAUUAUGCUUGUUCUGGGAUUCUCAAUCUCCAGCUAUGGUCCUGUUUCAGCAGUCUGAACUAAGGCCACUCAAGUAGGGAACUAACCAUGCCAGCAGCAUGUAAGUGCUCUCAUCUUUACUCAGCUAAUUUUUGUGUGCUGAAAUCCCAGUUAAUCUUUCAAGGGUCGGGCACUUUCUCAUUCCAAUUAAGCGUGAAUUGUGAUUAUGAUUGAAAGUAGUUGGUGAGAGUUGUUGAUGGUGAUUAACUGCAAUCUUUGAAAAUAUAGUCACUGAUUGACUAAGGAUGCUAGUUGUUUAUAUGGAAUCCAUGAUCUUCGGUUAAACUGUCAACCAUUUACUGACUCUAUGGUUUAAUUAAGGAUCUUUCAAUUUUGAGUAGGCAGGUUUGGAAUUUGACAGGCCUUGAUCAAUAAUCUAUACCACUGGAUUUCAAAGUUUCAACCCUGAAAUACUUCUUUUUAGACUCUGCAGUUGGCUGUAUAAGAUACUUUAAUUUGCAGGAAAGACUUGUCAUGCAAGACUAGUCCACUUGACAUUUCAAGCCGUAUAUCUAGUGACUUGGUCUUUUGUAUACUUAUCAGUGAAAUUCUUUUUACGAGACUAGAUUAAGACAUUUGUUCCAUGUAUAUAAUAUCUCGUCAAAUGUAAGAUAUUUAUGUGACGACUAAAUCUAGAGGAAAAUCUCGCUAUUAUUAGAAGUUGGAGGGCAGAAAUUUAGGGUUUGGUAUCUUGAGAGGAUAAUUAAAAUAAUGGAUCCUGUCGUGUUUGGAUUGCCAUUUCUUUCGAUUUUCUAUAAAAAAAAUAUAUUAUGCUGAUUUGAUAUAUGUGAAAUAAAAAAUAUUUUAAAAAUAUAGUCACGAAAAAUAUAAAAGUUUUUCUGCAGUCCAAACAAGACAAUUUUUAACUGGAAAAGGAUAAAAAAAAAAAAAAAAGACGAACUCCAGUAACCUUAGGGAAGAUGGUCCAUCCGUGGUAGUAAAAGCAGAUAAAAGAGGGGGGAUUGGUUGGCUUUUGGAAGCCUUAGCGUUGCGUGUGAAAUGGAAAAGAAAAAGCUCACUACUUCCUUAGUUUCAUUUCACAAAAAGUACUAACGUAUUGAAAGCGCAAUUAGUAUUGUUUAUGAUUGUCGUUCAACUUGGAGAGAUUUAAAAUUUGUAUGUGGGGAUGCAUCUUUAGAUUGUAAUUAAUUAAUUAGUUAGCACUCGAAAUCGAAUCCCCUUUUAUUCAAUAUUUUAUUAAUUCAACCAUUACAAUUUAGUAGAAGUCUUCCUUGCAUCCAGACGGGAUCCUCUGUCCAAUUUUUUGUGUCCAAUUUUCUGUCCAACACAAGAUUACGUAGUUCCAUUUAUUCUUGUGGCUGACGUGGCACAUAAAAAUAAAUGCCUGUUUGGCUCAAGCGCCAAGCAACAGCCCUGUCAAAUUGUAACCAUUCACCGUGAGUUCCUCCAAAGCAAACCACUAGCCUAACGGAAAGACAUAGCAAAAUUUGAGACAAACAGAGAGACAAUCAAAUCCUUGGAAGUACAAAGCAAAAUUUGCAGCUGGGCCUAACGGAAAGAAUAAUCUAAAAAAUUGGUGAAGGAAAACAAAUUGUCUUUCUCGCUUUCUUUGAAGGAAAACAAAUUGUGUUUUAACAUUUUCAGAUAGAAAAAGUGUUUCUUGUACCUUUUGCAAUCUAUUUUUUAUUCUGGUAAAUUGAUUCCUCUUUUUGUUUUUUAAGUAGAAUUAUGUCUUCAUUGAUACAGUGUUCAUUUAAUUUAUAAUCCAUCUCUUGGGGAAAUAUGGUUAAAAACUGACAUAUUUCAUUGGCUUGGUUGACAAAGGUGCUAAUUGAAUGAAAAACCAUGCGAUGGAUAAAAAUUGAAAACCUUUAAACAUCAUGGAGACUUCUGCUAUUUUAAGAUGUAAUAGCUGUUUUCUUUUCUUACCCCCCCUUUUCCCAGAGAGAAAAAAACACCACCCCACCCACAUACACACAUUUUAUAAGGCAUACGGAUUGUGGUGGUAAACAAAUAUAUGUGCUGCAAUUUGGUUCACGAUGAUUGUUGUUUCAGAUGUCAAUGCCUAGAAGAUUAUAUGCUUAGCCAGUUUUUUUAUUUUUUUAUUUUUGGUUUUAUGGAAUUAUGUGUUUCCUUUUCACAUACAGUGAUUUUUGUGAUCACUGCUAAACCGGGGGAAUUGUUAUGGUAGUAAUAGGGUUUUGGGAAUUGUAAUAAAGAUAUGUAAAUAAAGGAAAUCCAAAAAAGAAGAGAGAUCCAAAAGUAUAAUGGAGCCAAAUAGGCAUUUAUUUUUAUGUGCCAUGUCAGCCACGAGAAUAAGCGGAACUACGUAGUUUUGUGUUGGACAGAAAAUUGGACAGAGGAUCCCGUCUGGCUUGCAUGCCAUCGGAAGAUUCCAGCCGCAAAAUAACUAACUUAAUAGACAUCCAUAUUUAUUGUUUCGUGCUCAAAUUAACUUGAUUUUUACUCAAUGUUAGUAAAGAUCUCUUUUAACCAGUGCGCAGCAACACUCAUUAGCAACACCGUUUUUAUUUGGAAUAGCACAAUAGGCAAGUUUAAGGUUGCGUUUGAUAAAUUCGAAAAUUGAAAAUUGAAAAUUGAAAAUUGAAACCUGAAAUCUGAAUCUAUUAAAUUAUUAAAUUGUUAAGUAGUAAAUUUGACAUAUUUGAGUAUAUAUCACAUUAAACGAUAAGUAUAUAACUUAUCACUUAUUCUUUAGAGCAAGUUUUACCAAAAAAAUUCAAUGUCAUUUAAUUGAUUCAAAUAUCAAUUUUUUACUAUUAAGAUAUAGAAUUGGAGACAUUUCAAUAUACAUAUCUAGAUGUUAUGAAUAGAAUGCCAAAUAUGCCACUCCAUUUAAUAUAAAAGUUUGCCACCAAGUACUUUCCUUGUUUCACCAAGAAUGUGUGCUCAGCAACUAGACUUGUCAACGGGUCGGAAUUGAAAAUUCCGAACCCAAAUCCUUUUUAAUGUUAGACCCGGAUCUGACCCAUGUACCCAAUGGGUCUUGUGCUGAAGAUUUCAAAACUAGAUCCGAUGGGUCUCAGGUCGGGUCCGGGUCUACUCGAAAAGAAAAAAGAUCCAACAUAUAUCAUUCAUUUUCUUUUAUUCAUGUUAGUAAAAAAGGUCAACAUGAUCCCAAGAUAUUUAACAAAAAACACUUAUAUGCAAUUUGUGAUGAAUACAUUUUGGUCAAACAAGUUUGCCUCUUCCAAAUCCUAAUUUCUUAGAUGUUUCAUUUAAGAUAUAGGUAAUUUAGUUAAUUUGGUAAAAGAAUACUUUUGUUAAUUUAGUAAAAAAAAUGUAUUUAGAAAUAUUUAUAUUUUAUAAUUAUUAAUGUAUUUUUUAAAUUCGGGUCGAAAUUCUAUGUUUCAUAUCUGACUUUUUUUUGUUAGAGUAAAUAAGUAUGAAUCUAGAUACCGGAAUUAUUUCUCAACUUGGAAAAAAUUACCGAAUCUAGGCUAGGUCCGAGUACAAACUUGACCCGUUGAUCGCCCUGUUAGCAACUAUGUUUUCUCAUAGCUUUGUCCCUUAAAAUGGGCCAAAAUUUAAACUCUUUCUCUGUUGAAGUGAAGUCUUGAUAGUGGACAGGCUUGAUGCCCAAACCGGAAGACAAACCCAUCACAAAAGAGUUGAGGCCCUUUUAAGUACGCCAUUUCCUCGCAGAAAUAUUGCCCUAAGUUGUUGACGACCUGAUUCCCGGUGGCCGGUCAAUCUCCAAAAGUCCGAAUGCAGGUGGAGUUUUCGUCAACCACGUGGAUUGCUGAAGUGCUGACCUCAACCCACGAAGAUUCAACAACAUGACCUGGUUUAGCUUCUUUCUGUUACGAUAGCCUAUCGUAGUCUCGUUUGCUUGUGCCACGGUGGAAACUAAGGCUCUGCUUGGAUUGCUUGUUUCCGUCAGAAAAUAUUGUCAUUUUUCGUGAUCAUAUUUUUCUAUCACCUUUUUCCCACACAUAUAUCAAAUCGCUACAGUAAUUUUUCCAUGAAAAAUGACGGAAAAUGCAAUCCAAACACAACUUAAAAUUAAGUACUAAAGCCAACAUCAUCGACAAAUUUAUAAAUAGUUUGGAUUUUUUCCCUCAUAUAGUUUAAGAAAAAUUAAUUAAUUUUAUUGAAAGAUUAAAUCUAAUCUAUUAUCUUUCUAAAUACUCUUAUAUUAUUAAUAUUACGAGUAUGACUAAUCAUUAUACAUUUACAUUAAUUAUAAAAAUAAUACCGACAGAAAGUUGUACCAUUCAAGGCCUGAAUCAAAACAAUUAUUGAAUAAGAUAAGUUAUAUUCAUGGAUAACAAAGUACAUUAAAUAAAUAAGGAUAUUUUGGAGAAGUUGAAAGUUAACUAACUAUAUUUUUUAAUUGAAUAGUGGAUUAUAAUUUGGAGCUAAUGAGAAAGGAAAUAAAACCAUUAAAAUGGAACAGAGGGAGCGCAAACCAACUAUACUUAAAUCCCAAUUAAUCAACAUGAAUUAUCCAGUCCCUAGGGGAACAUCUGCUAAAAUUGAGAUGAUACAGAGAACAUUUUUAAAAAUUUUUGAACACUAACUAUCCCAUCAAUUCUUAUUAGGCUUUAAACAUUAACUUUACGUCCGUUUACUUUUGUGCGCAGAACGCCAAGAGAAGAGUCAAGCAUAUUUUAUAAAGAAAACACAAAUGCUCACGGAGAAAUUUAUACUCUUUAAUAAAUUACGUGAAGUAUUUUCCAUUGGGUACGUUCUGGGCUCUGAUUUAUUUGAUUAUUACACAUUUAGGCUCAGAGAUGCAACCAUACUGCGUACCUUCCAGUUACCUAUGCAGCAGUGCACUAAAGGGGAAUAUUAUUGUCACCAUAGAGAUCAUGGUAUGUACCAACGAUUGUUUUGAUCAAGUUAUUCUUACACAGCAUACCUUUCUUGAUUCAUCUCGUUUAACUAACACUCAAAGAAUGGUCUUAUUUGUUAAUGGGAGUAGAUUUCAAUAUACUUUUCCUUCUGUUCUGCGUUCCAAAUCCUCUCGAACUCAAUCACUCACCUCCAAUUCUAUUGGUGAACGUGAACCUGCAUCAUGUCUUUUCUCUAGUAGCGUCCAAUUGAAUUUUUCUUGCUGCUAUCUAGUUGCCUUCCUCGUGGAUGUCUUGUGGACACUCAACUUCUUUUAGGCUUCUUAGCUAGGGAGCUGAGUUGGAUUUCAGCAAAUAGAUAGAUACAGCUUUCUGGAUUGAUUUUGAAGCAAACUUGAUUUGGUAUCUCUUUGUUGUAGCAUUUCUUUAAUCUAUCUAUAAACUGCCUUCGGUCAUGGCAACGAGCAAAUAUGUACAGGGGAAAAAAGACAACGGGCCGGAAUGUGUAAUCAUGGUUCCGGCAAAUGAAAAUGUUUUUAUGCAGUGUAGCUCUUGCGAUGGAAGAAAGCUAGCUUUUGGGAUAUGGUUCGUCAUGAAAUAUACAAAUGAAGACUUGAUGGAUGAUCUCAUGGGAACCAUCGGACUCGGAUCACAUAAUGGGGUGAUGCCCUGGAUCUGGUUUCAUGCUCAAGUGGAUCCGGGCCGGAUCUUUCUUAAUCAUCAGAAAUGUUCCAAUUCAGUUCGACAACUUUGCAUGCUUCUAAGUAGUUAUUUUGUUGCAAAAGGUUAUCUUAAUCGGUUCAGACAAUUUCUGAUCGUUUGUACCUUUUACGAAAAUAUAGUUUUUUGUUUUUAAUAGAUGAACAAGUUUCAAACAGACCAAUCAACUUUGAAAUUCAUCAUUCUAAGUGAGAAAAAUUAGAUUUUGCAGUCUAUUUUUUCUCCUCUUACCGUAUCUUAUGAGUAAAUUGUUACAAUUCAGAAGCAAACUAUCUUCUUGUUAUAGUAGAGGCAAUUAAAACUUUAAGAACAGUGUUGCACACAUUUCAGCAGAUCACCUUCCUUUCCCAUUUGCUCGUGUAAACUUUUGUGUUAAUAGUUUUCUGUACUUUCUUAUACCAAGUUCAUCAACAACAACGACUAAACAAAAGGAGAGCAAACUAUUGCAGACUAAUUCAAGAUUGAUGCGCGGAAAACCAAUUUUGACGAAGAGGAAGAUAAUAUAGAUCUGGGAUUGGGCUUAGGUGCAAAAUGAGAAACUGAAAAUCGGGUGGUGAAGUGUUGAAACUUGAAAGCACGACACGAUCGAAGGAUGAACAAGGUAUCGAAGCCAUUAUAGGCUCGUGAAUAACAAUAUGAGAUUGACUUGAUGUUGAGGAAUUAAUCCUCAUCGUAAUUGGUGAGGGACCAACAAAUCUUAAUCUUCAGCCAGCCAGCAUGAAAUGCCAUGAUCCUAACUAGCUAGCUAGAAGUGCUUGAUAAACAUUUAAGGCUACGAAUCUCUGCAGUGCAUGCAGACACUCGAGCGUACCAGAAUAUCAUGACCAUGCAAAGAUAAUUAUGAGGGCCUGUUUGUUCUGCAAUUGCAGAAGAAUACAGUCUAUUUCCAUCAUGGUAUACAAUGAAAACCAUCCGAAACUUUUGGUUAGCAGCAUGAUCUAUGGAUGUACAGCCUUGAUAAAUCUACUUCAUGAUGUAUGCUAGAAUCCUUGAAUGUCUGCAGAGAUGAUGAUAUAUAGCAUUUCCAUUUCGGUUGUUUUGCUAUUCAUUCGACCGGCAGUCUUUAAGAAUAAAACAAGAUAGAUGUUUGACAAAGUAUGCCUAAUAUGCUUUUUAUUUUUCCCCUCCUUCUUGACCUACCAAGUCCAGGCAUUUCAUUUGCUGGUGGCGUAAAACUUAUAUAAGUGCCAAAAAGUUGAGAUGUAUUAUAUCGUCGUUUAUGCAUACUCCAGCUUCUCUUUUCCUGCUUUUGCCAUCACCAAGCAAAAUGAUGUGCAUAAGUAAUAUAUUUGUACACCUGCAGCUCGAACCACUAUCAUUUGUCUAAUUUGAUGAUAGAUUUUUGGACGCAGAUAGAUCUCUUUACAGUACAUUCCUCCUGUCAUCAUUAGUCAGCUAGCUGUAGGGAAAGUUGGUAAAGUGGUUAAUUUUUUUUUUAUUUUUUUUGUCCCAGACCAAACUAAAUAGAACAAAGAUUUUGAUAAGAAUAAUGAGGAAAACAAAAUAUAAAAAUGGUCGUCGUCCCAACAGCUAGCAUUACAGCCAAGGUCACUUCAGGACAACCAAAUUCAAGGAGAAAAAAAUGUAAAUGGAGAAUGGAAAACUCCAAUCAGGUGUUGCUUCAAGAUGAAUAUAUAUAUAUAUAUAUGUAUACGGUGAUGCAAGAAACUGAUUAGUUUAGUCCAGAUUGUUGUCAUUGACUGGUCGGACAGGUCAUGAAUCAUGGGCCAUCAGAUCAGAGAUGUAUAGCAUAUAUAGUACUAAUAUGCUAAUUAAUGCAGUAGCAAAUUAUUCCACCCCUCUUGGAACUGAAUCUGUGAAUUUACAAACUGCUAAUGUAACAUCUUAAGAAGGUUCAUUCAAGGGAUCCAAACAAAUGGGAAGAAGCCUUCUCAGCUACUACUUGGAUGAGAGAAUUAGUGGUGAUGCGUUUAUUCGCAGUGAAAAAUCACCUUCCAUGUGAAAUUACCAUAGAUAUAUAUGAACCGAUUAACAUGCAUGUAGUGAAGACAAUGACUUUUUACCUAAAACUGAAAAAGAAAAAUACGAUAACUUUUUGGCUGGAUAGAUAGAUAGAGGUGGUAUAUCAUCACAAGUGACACCAGUCAUAUUAAAGAUUUUAUUUACAACAUUUAUACGUGUUUUCUGGUAUAUAUGGAAAUAAAUGCAUGCUUAGGAAGAUAUAUAUAUAUUGUAAUUUUCUUAAUCAUUAUAUAUGUAACCAGAUAUUAUAGUACUAAAUACAUAAUCAAUUUUGGAUUCUUUUAUUUAGUUCCAGAGGCCACACAAUAAGAAGUGAGCCCAAUGUCAUUCUUUGUGCUCUUUUUUUUUUUUUUUUAAUCAAAGAAAGUGUAUGUAAUUCAAGGACUGAGUGGUAACUCUAGAAUUUUAAUAGUGUAGUUACCCACAUUUUCUAUGUGCUUAUUUAUCUAAUGUUCUUUGGGGACUAAAUAGAAAAGAAAAACAAUAAUUUUGUAUGGGUAGGAAGACAUUUUAAUUUAUUGGAGAGACCACCUGACAACAGGUUGCUCUCCCUUUUGUUAAUAUAAUAGUACCAUUACAUAAUUUCAGGGCUUGUAGUCUUCUAAGUGAAUUUAUUUUUUUCUCUGUUGAACUUCCUUGAAUCCUUUUGGACUUUCUGGUAUUGGUACGUACGUUUAUUCCCCCUCCCUAAAUACAUUUCACUUCAGCUUUAGUUUUUUUUUUUUUUUUUGGUUUGCUACAAAUUCACCUCGUUUUUUUGUACGAACAUAACGUAUUUGAUAAAAACAAGCAUGGCAUUAGCAUUAAUAAAUCAGAGAAGAAGUGGUACACAUUAACUGAGACAACGUUUAGUAUCUUACAAACAAAUUGUGUUUCUUGCUGUAAGGAAACCCUAUUAAUUAAUCAAGUUACGGGAUUAAGGAAACCGAUCAUGAGAAUGAAAGUAUAUCAAUUUACUAGUCGCUAAACUGAUUGCAGCCAUGGACCAAAAACACUUAAAGAGGUAAUUAAAUAGUUAUUUUUUCAGACUCUACAACCAGAUGGACUUCUAAUCAUUUUUUCUUUCUGGCCGGGGAAGCCAAACAUAGGAACUUCUAUUAAAGUUCUUUACAAAGUGGACGUGUCAUAAGCAUAUAUAUAUGCAGGACAAACAGUUUGUUCAAAGUUCUUAAAUCCCAUCUAAAAUUAAGUAAUUUUUUCUGAAAGAAUAUCUUGUCAAGUUUCACUGAGAUUGUCAUUUUCCUAGAAGAAUCUUGUCCGGUUUUUUUUGGUCGGAAGAGCAGUUGUACAGCAAAGUUAUGCAGGCAGUGACAUGUGAAUUAGGGAAGUGCAGCAUGCUAUUUUAUUAGCUUGGGAACUCGCUCGCAUAGAAAAGAUUUGUAACUAGAUUACCAAAAGAAUAAGUUGACAUUGAUUUAAGAUCUUUCAUUUUCUUUUGAAGUUUAAUUAAUUAGGAUUCAUUAUCCAAGUUAAUAUUAUUAUACACUAUUAUCUACAAAUUCUGGAAUUAGUUCAGUGAUGUGUUGGAGACAUUGUAAUCUGGCAACACUAGAUUGUUCAGCUAAAUAGGCGGCCAAGAAAAAGGAACAUUUAAAUCUUAGGGAGAAAAGAAGGAAACACCAGAAAGGAAAACACUGAAAACGAAAGUAUUAACAGUUGCAUGAUCUAAUUGAUCAACAUCCGCAGCCAGCAAACAUACCUUUCGAAAAGAAAGUUUUCUCAUGAAAUAGAGCAUAUUCAUGUUCACCAUUUAUGAUUUAGUCACUAUAUAUGGUUGUUGCCAUUAGAUCCCACUACCAUAUUAGUAUCUGUCUGGCCUAAGAGGCUGCUCAUGGAUCUAGCUUUAACUGCACCGAGCUUCAUUCUCUUCUUUACCCCCACCAAUGGCUUCUUCUCAUCAUCAUCCUGUUCAUCAAAAUCAUUACUAUUAAUCUUGCUUGACAAGGAUUUCACCACUUCUUUUUCUUGCAAACGCGACAAUGGUGCAGUUAUUUCAUCCUUCUCAUUUGCACCAAUCUGAUUAGUCAUGGCACUGUUUCGAACGCUAGUCAUGCUUCUUAGCCUUCCUUUACCUAAAUGAUGCUCGCACAAGGAAUAACCUACAAGAGUCUGUUGGCAACACCUCCAUCCUCGCCCGUUAACGCGACUGCACCGCGAACCCUCCAUGAUAACGCUGCCUCUCUUGCUCUUCUUUGCACCAGCACUAGACAUCGUGUUCUUGAUCCCUUCAUGUCCAUCACCACUUUGUAGCAAACAUUUCUUGUUUGUUUUCGACUUCAUUUUCGCCUUUGUUGUUUCUUUGCUUGCAAUGUUAAUUGUCUCAAAGCUCCCUUUUCUUUUCUUCAAUGGAACAACUUUAUCCCCUUCACACCAUCUCUCAAUAACUAUAUAUGUACAUAGUGCAAGUGCAUGUGCAAACAACAACAAUAAAAAGAAACAACGAUAAGAUGAUUUGGGCUUGCGAUCAUAAUAUUCUUAUACGAUCAUGCUAACGAUAUGGUGCAUUUUUCUUGAUUUGUCAUGGCCAAAAAGGUUUACUUACCUGGUGAAGAAGAAGAUGAUGGCAGAGGAAACUGCGUAGUAGAUAAUUCUCCUUGAAUGCUAUCCUUCCUAUAUACAAGCAACAUCCCAAAAGAUCCACAACCACAGAAGAAGAAUAUGUUCAGCGCAAAAAUAACAAACAAGAAACAACGGAGCAACUCCAUAGUGUAACCAUAGAAGAAGAAUGAGUGAUAAUUGUGGCUGGGGGACCAGUAUUUUAUGCUAAUAUACAUGCACCACAUGGGGCAUUCUUUUGCCCUUUUGUUUUUCCUAUUCACAGAAAUAAGUAAAAAAAAAAAAAAGUAUAGCAGUAAAUAGAGAAUAGAGAGAUAGAUUAGAUUAGAUUAGAUGGCGAUGGGAUGGGAAGCAAUGGUGGCUAGCCAAAGCUGAUGGUCUGCAUAAAAAACACUCGUAACAGUGCUUCCACUUACAGUAGUGAGUAUAAUUUCUUUUCUUUUCUUUUCUUUUUUCUCAAGGAGGUAAGGGUUAAAUCAAGCUAUGAGUCUCUCCUCUCUCUUUUUCACCUUUUUACUACAAGAGUUCAUGAAAGAAGUGAAACAACGUUGAGUAACUUUUCUUUUUUAUUCUUACCUUGUAUCAUUACAGCUACACCUCUCAUCUUUAAUCUCCUUCCCUUCAAUUUCCUGCAGAAAAAUAAAGCAGAUUCAGCAUAUAUACCAUCCACGCAUCGUGUUUGCACCUGAAGCAACAUUUCUUGAUGCAGAUUUAUUUACCCUUGCUAAAAACCCCACUGAAAUUUCACUGCACCCUAUUCAUGAUAUUGAUCAAACUCACCUUUUGCUUCAACUUCUCUUCAUCAACACCGCUGUUGAGAAAAUCCCAUGUGGGAUUUUCAUUUGUGGUCGUGAUUGCUUGACUAUUUGGUUGCUGGAAGGGCUGAUUUUGAGGAUCGGGAUUUUUGGGAUUGUUGUGCUUUGCCUCUUCUUGCACCAUAUGAAGAUUCUGAUGGGGAUUUACUUGUAUGAGUGGUUGCACCACCGGUGACCGGUUGAGCUGGGGAUCUGACGGGGCAGCUGAAGAGAUUGAUGCUGAGGGAGGAAAACGUUUCCUGAUCCUCAUGGUUUUGUAAGCAUGAACGAUUAAAGACUCAAAAGGGGAAACGAUUUUGAUGAGAGAAAGACAAGGAGGAGGAAGACUAACUAUAACAAGAAUGGAAUUUUCAGGUACUGAUCUUUUAGGACAGGGAGCAAUAAAAGAGAACAAGAACUCUUAAAUUACUACUGAAAACAAAUUUGUUGGCUUAAUAUCAAAAUCUCACAAACAAGCUCCCUAUGUCUCUCCAACACUAAUCUCUAUUUGUUUUCUCUCUCUAACUUUUAUUUGUUGCACCACCCAACACACUACAAGACCACACACAAGGAUAGAUAUAACGUAGCAUUGCACAACAUUAUCGAAAAACGGAAAAUUGCAAUUUAGACCCACAGGUUUUCAAAUAGUUUCAAUUUAGACUCUUGUAGUAUUUUUAUAUUCAGCAUGAUCUUGUUUUUACGUGCUGUAAUGUAAUUAGAAUUUUGUAUUCGGUCCAAUAUUCUUUUUUUUUUCUAACAUGUUCUUUCUCGAUGUAGUUUAGAGUCGUCAUUCAGUUUAAAAAUUAUUUUGAAUUGAAAGUGAAUUCUGACAUACUAGUUUUCUUUUAUUCGUAUAAUAUGUGAUUUUAUUAAAUUGUUUAUCGUACUUAAGUAGGUUAAUUUUUUAUGAUGCAACAAGAACCGUUCAAAACAAGAAAAUUAAGGAAAUAUUCAGAGUGUUUGUGUUAACAUUGAAAAAUGAGAGGCAAAGCAUGAUAAGAUCACACAACAUAAAAUGGCUAAAUGUGUUGAAAGAGACAUGUGAGGGACUAAAAUGAAAAGAAAAAAAACCACACGAAGGGUCCAAAGCUUAAAGAUCAGUUUUCGGUUGUGUAUUUCUGGCGCACGUGUGAAGGCUGAGAUAGAGAAGUCAGGCACGGAGGAGCAGUGGCGAGGGAGGCAGUGACCGGCAACCGGAAUCGUGAGGAAAAGAGAACGGGUACGGAAGGUGACAGGGUGGAUGGAAAGAGAAAGAGAGUACUACAAAUUUUACAAAAUGAUGGGAAGGUUGGAGGUUGUUUUAACGUUUAUGCCUUUAAGAAAAAUUGUGGGUUCCACUGCCAACAACGACCAAGAUGCUCUGCCUCUCCUUUCAUGGUACCCUACUGCUAAUUAACGUAUUAAACCCAAAAAAUUAUCGUACCAUUGAACUUUGCAUCAGGAAAAUUUUAGUGUAUUUACAUCUAGACCCAAGGUUCAAGGUUAGAUGCGUUAGAGCCCCAUGAGAUUUGAAAGAAAGUUAUUACAACCCCAUGGUUACUGCUAAAUUAGUCCAUCAAAAAUAGGUCACGAUCAAACCCUUCACUCGAUAAAUCAACACAUUCAUUAGUAACAAUGCGAAACAGUACCAAAUCUAAGGGGAGGAUAAGAAAGAAGAGAGAAUUAUUCUCAUUAAUUUUCUCUCCAAAGAACCCGUUAUUGCCUUAAUUUCCAAAUUUAUUCCAUGAUUGGCUAUAUGAAAAGAAGGAUAUCUUAAUUCAAGAACCUUUUUUUUUUUUUUCCUCUCCUGCACUUCCACCAAUCUCUAUGCCCAAAACUUGCAAGGACCAUGUAAAUGAUUUUGUGAAUAUCAUGCACUUUUUUGGUAUUGAUGUUUCAAGAUUUUUACAAUACUCUUGUCUAAAAUAUGUAUGUGACGGUAAUUUGCAUCUUCCUGCACGAAGAAAGACACAAUGAGGGUAUGUAAGUGUUUUGCUUUGCCAUGUUCAAGCAUGCAUGUUUGUUAGUCUUGGUCAAAGUGAGAUCAAUUAUGAUAUAACAUUUAAAGGUGAAGAGGAGAGGUUAUACCUAAUACUAUAGCAGGUAUGUAAAAUAAUGGUGGCAACAUAUUUCUCUUAAAAUUUCAUAAGGUACAAAGGAAAAAUGGCAAUUGGUUGUAUCCUGUAGAUCGAUCUACUGUAUGUGCAUUGUUAGAGUAUGAUUCUAGUCGUUAUGCAAUCAAGGGAGAUGGUAGAGAAUCAAAUACUAAGUACACAUUUUUUUCUACCCCAUUUGUUCUUCUAUUUGGAAACAAGCUGAGGUAUUUUGCAGUACUAAUUUGGCUUGGUUUUAAUUUUUAUUGGGAUAAUAAGACAAUAGGAAAUUACUUUCUUUCUUUAUCUUCAAGUGAAAAGGAGUCUAACCAUCAAAUUUAAAACUAUCAGAAACUAACCAUCAGCUAACCCUUUUUUGUUUUUUCAAUAAUAAAUCACUCUUUGUAUUUACUUAAUUAUUGUCAUUUUGCAGCAUAAAAUUAUGUACGGUUCUUCACCUCAAACAUUUCAAUUAUACGUUCCUAAUGGGACUUCUUGGUUAAGUCCCUCUUUGCAAAAUGAAAUAUUCUAUUCUUGCUAACUUUGUAAAUUCAAUUGUAGUUAAAGAGGUAGCUAAGAGGUAGGUAGCUAAGACCUGCACGGAAAGAGCCAAAUCCAUCCAUUUGGAAUUGGAUUUUUCUUGUAUAAAUAGGAAAAGGAGAUAGUCAUCCGGCUAGAUUGGCAAAUAUUCUUUCGUAACUUGAAAGAACAAAUAUUUUACCAGGAAAUUACUAAAAUAAAGAAAAAAAAUUAAUGCAUAGGAUUUGACCAGUGUUAAAGCUUUUGUAAACGGCCAUGCGGACGUAUACCGUCACCGGCCAAGCGUUGACAUAUAGAACUUCUUGCCUAAAUUAUUAUAUUUGGCGAGAAACAAAUUAAAAUGUGAAAGAACUUUCUAUUUGAGUAAAAAUAUCAUGCCACCUUUCCGUGCUCGAAGAUUUCUAACCCUAUUAUUGCUUUUCACCAAUAUAGCUUGGAAUAACUGUUCAUAGGCUCGGUCGCAAAGCUACCAUCACAACCAAAAACCCGACUCAUCGAGCUCACUGCAGGAUUAACUAGUUUACGAAAUGAACAGGGAAUGAGGUUGAACUAACAAAAAAAGCUAGAAAAUGAUGAAUGAACAUGAAGACGAUUUGAUUGGUGGAGGGAUGAAUUUUUCGGGCAAUAAAGAAAGUCAAAACUCAAAAGGGCUGCUUUGAUGCGAUUCAUAAAUUAACAAAAAGAACUCUCAACCUAGAACUUUAGUUAGGGCUAGAAGAUAAACUAAACUGUUCAAUACUCAAAUCAAAUUUGAUUUCGAUUUGAUAAGAGUUUGUUUGAAUCUGGUUUGCCAGCUAAACAAACUAAAUUUGAAUAAGAUUUUGUAUUCGUUAAACUUCCAAAUUUGGCUUGAAUUUAGACUUAAAAUUUUUGUGUAAAUAAUUCAAACUACUCUAAUUCGAUUCAAGUUUGACUUGAUAAAAAUUUGCUAGAGUUCGGCUCAAUAAACUAACUAACUAAAUUUAUUUGAAUACAAUUUUAAAGCCAUUAAAAUAAUCAAACAAAUUUGAACACAGAGAUAUUUCAAUUGAUUAGACUUGUUUAUACUCCUAAAUCUAAUAGCAAGUAGUCCAAUCAGACAAAAUAUUUUCUUUUUGGAUCUCUAUAUAUAUGUAUUAAAACUCAAUUAUCAUGCAAAAAUCCUCUUGGUAGACAACCAAAUUUUUGAUCUCCACUCCUUUGAGGUUCUUGUCUUUAGAAUUUUAGUAUAGAUUGUUUAAAAAGCGCAUUGCUAAAUAUUUGAGAUUGGUUGAUUGUGGUUAUUAUGGGGUUUAUAAAAGAUCAAUUUAAUUUGUUCACAAUCUUACAAUGUUUGUGGAGAAUAAGGGAAGCUUUUUUUUUUUUUUUUUUUGAUAAAACAUCAUAAUGUCACUAAAAUUCAUAAUAAUGGUAGAAGUUACAUCAUCAAUGAUACAUAGAUAUCAAAGUACAAAUAUGAGAAGAAUAGAUACUACUGAUCUGAAAAACAAAUAAAAAUUAAGAUUAAAUAAUUGUAACACCAAGAACAUCCAUGCAUAUUUCCAAGCAGUAGAUCUAUGGUGAGAUCUACCAAAUAAAUUCAAGAAUUUCUAGAUUUGAUAAACAAAAUUUGAAAAAAAAAAUCCAGAUUUAAUUUAAUAUUAGGGAAAAAAUGACAAAAAUACCUAAAUUAAAACUCUCACUAGGAAUCCUGGGAGAGAAGAAAGUUCUUACCUGAAAAAAUCUAGGAGCGGAGAAAAUUCUUAUCAGACAAUUUUAGGAGAAAAGAAACUCUUAAUAGACAACUUUAGAAAAGACUUUAUUCACACAAACUAAAUGAAACUAGAGAGAGGUCCCUUUCAUGGGCAAAGAUUAGAAAAAUGUAUCUAUUUAUUUGGGAGCGUUGAAGGACAUUUUGACCUGAGAGUUUUAUAAAAGAGAAGAAAGAGAGUUUUAUUAGAGAAAAUGAAGUGUUCGCUUAAUUUAGGAACUUUGACGUGAAAUACCAGAAACUACUAGUGGAGUGCCAAAAUUAUCGCUCGCACGUAUUAAAUUCUUUUUCCUUUUAAAGUGCCAUGUGGUUGGAUUACAAGACACACCCGGAUGAAGUUAGUAGUUGAGAAUAGUUGAUGAUUGAAAAUACUUUAAAUUUCAGACUAAAGCAAGAAUUUAAAUAUUAUUUGAAUUUAUGUCUCAUAUUAAUUAUAUGUAUUAAUCCAUGGUUAGGGGGAACUAAAAUAUGUAUUAAAAAAGGAAAAAAAAAAAAAAAGCGGUUCUUGGGAUUAGAUAUCAUUCAACUGCAUGCAUGUCUGAUUUAUUCUGUGACUAUUCUGGUAAAAUAACAGGAUGAGAUCAAAUCAAUAAGAUCCUUAAGCUACCAUUCGCAUCAAGAUCAAUCAGAGAAUAUGAUCUUCUUGGUAGUAAAGGUCAUGCAUCGAUCCAUUAGCUUUAUGUCUUGUUAGUCCAACUUCAUCUUGCUCCACUAACCGCUGUUUUCAAGCCUAAUUUCACUCUGCACCCCCUAAACUAUUAUUCUUUCCACUGUGCUACCUAGAGUCUAGACUAAUUUUGGACACAACCUAAGCUUUUAUUUUGAGUAAUUUGGCCUAUUUAAUGACCACGUUUAGAAAAAACGGUGUUGAUUUUUUUUUAGUAAUAUAAUAGUUUGUAUUUCCAUAAUUGCAAGGUACUAUUAUUUAAACCACGAAAUGCCAUAAAUUUGUGAAAACAUAUUAAGACAAAAUUAAGGUGUGCACUUAAAGCGUCCACAUAUCAAGUUUGAGGGUGCAAAGUAGAAAUGGAUAAUAAUUUAGGUCGACACAAAGUUGAAUAGUAAUUGCCUUGGCAUGCACUUGAGAGAAUUUUGUUAAUUUACUUUAACACCAUUAACCAUUUUGAUAAUUGAAGGGGUGCAAAAUGGGAACAUUUCAUAAUUGAAAGGGGUGCAAAUUCAAAAGAACCAUGAUACGUUAACGUGUCUGUGCAUGUCCUGGAAAAGCUCUACUACUCAAGCAUUGCUCUAAUUUCCACCGAAAUGCUCCUUCUAAUUAGUGAGGGAACUAUGUACAAUUUUUUUUUCAAUGAAAAGGAGGAAAAGAAUGAAGAAUGAAAGGCAAAAUUAAAGGAAUUAGAUGGAGAGAAUUAAUGAGCCUGACUCAUCAAUUACAAAAGGAUUAAGGGGUUUUAAUGCUGAACUACAUCCUUUUUUUUUUCCCCUUGUUGGAUUAAAGGUAGAGGGUAUAAUCAAAUUUCUUUUUUUUUUUCUUUGUGAUUCCAUAGAAUUUAUAUUCCUUGUACAAGUAUUCUCUUUAUUGCACCUAAAAGAGGAAAGAAAAGGACAGUGCGAUAACCUUUGCUUGAAGGAAUUUCUAUUUGGCAGUGGCACCACAUUGCAUGUUGUGGAGGGAGGCUAGCAACAUCCUAGAUGUGUAUUACUCGAUCAAUAUGGAUAAAUGAUGUUGAAGCUCACUUGGGAUCUUGCUUUCUUGUGGAUAUAUGUCCACUUCAGGACUUCAACGUGGUGGACCUUGAUUUUUCACCCCAAAAAAAAAAUAAUGAUAAUUCAAUUCUUGGUGGACCUUGUGGAAUUGAUAAUUCUCUUACAUACUAAGGAAGCAUCUUAAUCUUGAUACUACUAUUUGGAGGAGUGAAGCUGCUGGCCUUUUUAACUGCUCACAAUGGAGAAUCAAAUGGUUUUCAAGUAUUUCUUGGAGCUCGUUUGAAUUGCUAUUAUUUUCUGAAGUUUUUAUAAAAAUAAAAAAUGUAAUGAUUUGAUGUACAUGCGGUAAAAAGAUGAAUGUAAAAUAUGUUUGGUGAAAUCGUAAGUAUUUGUUGAAGAAACAUUAUGGUAAUUCAAACAAAUUUUUAAAGCAAUUGAAGCUUGAAUAUUGGAAGUUUUCAUUUCUACUUUAUUUAUAAACCCUUUUCACUUUAAACGACAUGACAUUUUCUUUUUCUCGACUUUUAGGCUUAGAAAACAUGCAAGACACCUCAAGAUGAAGCAACUUGUUCUAGUAAAAAUGUCAAAUCCAUUGACCAAAAUAUGGACUAAUAAUAGAUUAGAUUUACUUUUGAUUAGCUUGAUCAAAGCAACUAAUUAAGGUUCUCUUGACAAAGUGGGAAAACCGUUUAACAUAUACACGAAAUCUGUCAUUCUUUUGCAAUUAAUUAUCCUUUCCUAGGAGAUAUAUGGCCAAAGCAUGAUCAAAGACUUCAGACAAAUGGAGCCGCCCGGUAAGCAUGACUGGUCCAAUUAAGCACUAUUUUGAGAAAAAGAAACGUUAAUUAAUCUUGUCCAAACUACAAAGUUUAGCCGACUGGAUGAUUUUUUACUUGCAGGAUGACCUCUACAUCUUUUUAGGAGUACAAAAACAGUGAAUUAAAGUAAAGGAAAGGUCAAACCACUCAAACCCCCCCCCCCUCCCCACCACACACACACACACACACACACACACACAUAUAUAUAUAUAUAUAUGUUGUUAACUUAUUUUGUUUAUAAACAAUCAAUUCAAUGAAGAGUCAAGAUUUUGAGUCAGAUUAGAAGUUUUCUUUGGCAAUUGGCAUUUAUGAGCAGCAGAAUUAGAGCUGGAACUAUAAGUAGCCGUCCGCUUCCUCCUUGUAUAUUUAUUGCAAUACUUAUGGAAAGAGGCAAUAAAAACCAUAUCAACAAGAACCAUUCCUAUCUCUUAUCGUUUGAAAAAAAAAAAAAAAAAAAACAAGAACCAUUCCUAAGCUUUUGGGCUAUAUUUGUCUACGGUAGCACUUGGUAAGUGGGUUUUAGACUAAAGGAUGAGAUUUAAAGUAAAUCAUAGUAAUACUUAUCAUUUAGUUAAUAUUAAUCGGAAUGAGUUAAUGGGUAUGAUAGGCUAAUUUGAUGAUUUUUUGAUUAACUGUUUUUUAGUAGGGAAUCAUUAUUAAUUACUUGCCCAUGUAACUCGGAUUUUUAAUUAAAAAUAAAUAGUUACAGAAUACUAGAAGAAAUUGAGAGAGAGAAAAAAAUUUAGAAGAAAGAGAAAAAGAAAAAGUAAAGCAUACAUCUAAAUUUUAGUUAUCAAAGACUUCAUGGGUUUCUACGAAAUUCAUUACCAUUAAAUAGUUAAUGAUAGUAAUAGUGAUAGUGAUUGAUAAACUUUUACCAAACGGUUGCUUAGUUUUUUCUAAAGAAUAAAAUCCAUUUUGCUUUUGCAACAUCAAUGAAGCUUUAAAAAUCAAACAGAAAAAACUAAAAGUUAAUAAAUUACAACCUUUUUUGGUCCCUCAACACAUGGAGGAGACAUUGAUCUGUCAACUUUAUGCUUCAAACAUGGUCUUCUUGGUUAAUUUUGUUAUGCUUCGAACAUGGUCUCCUUGGUUAAUUUUGCCCAUUCCCAUCACAAACUACUGAAAUAUGAGGAGCUUUUACCAGCAUGAGCACCAACGACCCUGCGGACAUGGAUAAAAAAAAUCUCAGAAACUUGUCUUGCCAUACAUGUAUCAGGUAGAUCUGGAUGAUCAAAACCUCUCCAAAGCUGCAUACUUCAAAUCUUAUUUUGCAUUCCGUUGAUUUCUGUAAUAUUAAUUGACAAUAUGAUACUUACUUGUUCUUGGGUCUGAUGUACAAGGCCUGCGUUGUCAUUUGAUGCAUUUGCUUUAGCAUUUUCUUGGCCUAAUUCCACCCAAACAUGAGAACGAAUUGCUGGCUUUUGACCUUUCUGUGGAGUUCCAAUACGAGAACCAUCUGAUGGAUUUUUAGCCGGAGUAACCACUGGAUUAGGCUGCUUUGGAUCGUGGACAUCUCCUUUGGUUAAAACAACAUAGGCAAUAUUCUUUGUUUCUUUAGAUUCCUGAAGCUGCACCUGAUGGAAAUCUGCUUCUUUGCUUUCCAGACCAUCAUGUAUAAAUGAUCUUUCAAUAUCUAUUGAGAAACAUGCUUCGCUGAGUUGAAAACUUGGAGUUGGAGCGUUGAAAACUUGGAGUUGGAGCAUACUCUGACAGCGGACUUGGUUGAUAAUAUUCUGAUUGACUUGGAAAAUUUUCUUGACCCUGCAAGCCUGCAAUCCCCUUCAAUACUAAGGCCAUCAAUUCGUGGCGCUUACUAUCAGCAUCUGUUCUUCCAUCGAUUUCUAAAACUCUGGUCUGUGGCUGCAAUUGCAACAUAGCUUGUGAAUUCAUGAUGGCACAAGAAAUGUGGACAUCAAAUACACAGAAGCCACAUCGAUAAAGCCAGCCACGAUGACUGGACAUGUCACAUAAAUCACACUGGAACUUGUAUGGUGGGGAAAAUUCAAGUUUGAGUGUGUGAGGAUGGACAGGAAGCUUAACAGAUAGAGGAGUUGCUAAGCACAACAUAUGGUAGAAAGUACCACAUGUUGCACAGUUGUAGUAAAAUCCAGCGAUAGUCUGCUCACAUGCCUCGCAGUCAAUGGCCUUGUCAAAGUCAGAAGGAAUGGCAAGGAGGGUGAGGUGAUGAUUUGGAUCAACUGGAUGCUGAAUCUUUUGAGGCAUGCUGUAGCACACUUGGUGAAGAUAAAAGGGGCAUUUUCUGCACCGGUAACCAUGCUUGCCAGGCAAUAUCUGGAGUUUGCAGCCGAAGCAGAUGCAGUUACCUUCAGGUGGAAACAGUCUACGUUCUAAUAGAUGUUCAUGACUGAAAUGUUGUAUUAGAAGCUUCUGCAGCGGUUUCUCCAUAACUAAAGAUUGAUUCAGUUCUAUCUCUUGUGCCCAUAUAAAUCUAAACCUAUAUAAUUUCUAAGUUCCCAACACGCGGAGGUGACAAGGGAUAGCAUAUAUUGUUUUAACCAAAACUUUGGUACCUAGUUUUUUAAAACAAUAUAGGCUGUAGAAUUACGUUACUCCUUUACAUGUGCUUCAAUCAGCUUCAGCUUGGCCUUUUGUCAUAAAUUAUUAAUCCGUAGCCUGUAAGGAAAACAAUCUUUCUUUCUUUGGUUUUUAUCAUCCUUUAACUUUACACGAGCCAAUUGUCAAUCUCUAAGUUUGCUUUUACCGGUCAUUGGAGAAAGCUAAGAGAUUCCAUACAGAAGAAGACAGGAUAUGCAAGCUGCUUGACGUCAGGCAUGCCAAGAAGAAACAUGAGAAUAUCCCUCCUAUGAUAACUCUUCUUGUUGCUUCAUGUGUGAUCAGGCCACCUGAUAGGCUACAAGAAUUAUUACUGACAACCAACUACAGUACCGUGCCUCUCUACUAAAUUGUGUAUUACCUGUAAUCUUCAUUAACUUGAUCUCUUAAGUUUCAUUCCCUUUCCUUGUUGGUAUACAUUGUUCUCUGUUAUAACGAGCUGAUGAAACAAAUACUGCUUUUCUAUAAUCUUUAGCUUGGAUGCUUAGUUACUAACCAUAAAAUCUGCUUCUGGAAUUUUUUUAAAAAAUAUAAAGUCAUCUGGACAAGAAUGGCCUUAGAUAAGAGAAGAGGUAUGUUAAUAUGGUGUUUUAACAGUAAAGGUUUGUUUGACUGUAUAAACAUGACACUAGGAUAAUUAGAUGCUAGUAUUUGCAGAUAAACCAAAAAACAUUUUUGUGGCAUGUGAAGACUGUUAAAAAGCCUGUCAUAGAUAGUAUUAAAGAGUUGCUGUCUGGUUAAGGAAAAUUCUGCUCACAAAAGUCUGGUACAGGACUUGCGAAAUUCCUUUCCAAAUUUUCAAUUGCAAGCUUAUCAAUGGCUCUAAAGUGUAAAUGUCAGAAAAUUGGCUUAUCUUUGCCUGUUCAAUGAUAGAGAAUGUUCGUCUUAUCUGACACUCCCCAACAAUCAAAACAUACACGAGCAAAAGCCUCUUUUUAGAAGUCUUCAAAAUGGAAAUAUAUAUCCCUGAACCAGAAUCUCGUAUGCAGAAAAACGAUGCACACCAAGACUUACAAUCAAGGUUAUAUACAUGAUAAGUGAUGAAAACGAUAAAAGCUUCAGCUGCCCUUCAGGUCAGCUCUUUAUCUCAGUGAUAUAGAAGUUUCCACAAAGAACGCCACUAAAGGCCCAUAUUGAUUACUGGUUCUUGUACUGAAUACAGACAAUAGAAAAUGUGAAUUGGAAAGAUUGAUUAAAAAAAACUUAUUCUUGAAAUUAUAUAAAAAAAAAAAAACAAGAAAUACAUGCCAAUUGGAAAGGAAAAACAAAAGCAUUGGUGUUUAAGCAUACAUGUUCAACAAAGCCAACUUCUUGGACAUAUAUGUUUCCAGUCUACACAAAC
RNAcentral lists this long non-coding RNA (34757 nucleotides) under Coffea arabica (coffee). Its description in RNAcentral is "long non-coding RNA (CARA_LNC004082)". The record is from RNAcentral. Lineage: Eukaryota; Viridiplantae; Streptophyta; Magnoliopsida; Gentianales; Rubiaceae.